This 253-nucleotide ribosomal RNA is filed under the name uncultured bacterium. RNAcentral describes it as "partial 16S ribosomal RNA". It matches the Rfam family "Bacterial small subunit ribosomal RNA", at positions 524 to 776 of the family's 1533-position model. The record is from RNAcentral.
UACGUAGGUGGCGAGCGUUGUCCGGAUUUACUGGGCGUAAAGCGCGCGUAGGCGGCCUGUUAAGUUCGAUGUGAAAGGUUUCGGCUCAACCGGAACACGGCAUGGGAUACUGGCAGGCUUGAGGGCAGCAGAGGUCGGUGGAAUUCCCGGUGGAGUGGUGAAAUGCGUAGAGAUCGGGAGGAACACCAGUGGCGAAGGCGGCCGACUGGGCUGUACCUGACGCUGAGGCGCGAAAGCGUGGGGAGCGAACCGG